RNAcentral lists this ribosomal RNA (2929 nucleotides) under Escherichia coli. Its description in RNAcentral is "23S ribosomal RNA". It matches the Rfam family "Bacterial large subunit ribosomal RNA". The record is from RNAcentral. Lineage: Bacteria; Pseudomonadati; Pseudomonadota; Gammaproteobacteria; Enterobacterales; Enterobacteriaceae.
GGGUUGUGAGGUUAAGCGACUAAGCGUACACGGUGGAUGCCCUGGCAGUCAGAGGCGAUGAAGGACGUGCUAAUCUGCGAUAAGCGUCGGUAAGGUGAUAUGAACCGUUAUAACCGGCGAUUUCCGAAUGGGGAAACCCAGUGUGUUUCGACACACUAUCAUUAACUGAAUCCAUAGGUUAAUGAGGCGAACCGGGGGAACUGAAACAUCUAAGUACCCCGAGGAAAAGAAAUCAACCGAGAUUCCCCCAGUAGCGGCGAGCGAACGGGGAGCAGCCCAGAGCCUGAAUCAGUGUGUGUGUUAGUGGAAGCGUCUGGAAAGGCGCGCGAUACAGGGUGACAGCCCCGUACACAAAAAUGCACAUGCUGUGAGCUCGAUGAGUAGGGCGGGACACGUGGUAUCCUGUCUGAAUAUGGGGGGACCAUCCUCCAAGGCUAAAUACUCCUGACUGACCGAUAGUGAACCAGUACCGUGAGGGAAAGGCGAAAAGAACCCCGGCGAGGGGAGUGAAAAAGAACCUGAAACCGUGUACGUACAAGCAGUGGGAGCACGCUUAGGCGUGUGACUGCGUACCUUUUGUAUAAUGGGUCAGCGACUUAUAUUCUGUAGCAAGGUUAACCGAAUAGGGGAGCCGAAGGGAAACCGAGUCUUAACUGGGCGUUAAGUUGCAGGGUAUAGACCCGAAACCCGGUGAUCUAGCCAUGGGCAGGUUGAAGGUUGGGUAACACUAACUGGAGGACCGAACCGACUAAUGUUGAAAAAUUAGCGGAUGACUUGUGGCUGGGGGUGAAAGGCCAAUCAAACCGGGAGAUAGCUGGUUCUCCCCGAAAGCUAUUUAGGUAGCGCCUCGUGAAUUCAUCUCCGGGGGUAGAGCACUGUUUCGGCAAGGGGGUCAUCCCGACUUACCAACCCGAUGCAAACUGCGAAUACCGGAGAAUGUUAUCACGGGAGACACACGGCGGGUGCUAACGUCCGUCGUGAAGAGGGAAACAACCCAGACCGCCAGCUAAGGUCCCAAAGUCAUGGUUAAGUGGGAAACGAUGUGGGAAGGCCCAGACAGCCAGGAUGUUGGCUUAGAAGCAGCCAUCAUUUAAAGAAAGCGUAAUAGCUCACUGGUCGAGUCGGCCUGCGCGGAAGAUGUAACGGGGCUAAACCAUGCACCGAAGCUGCGGCAGCGACACUAUGUGUUGUUGGGUAGGGGAGCGUUCUGUAAGCCUGUGAAGGUGUGCUGUGAGGCAUGCUGGAGGUAUCAGAAGUGCGAAUGCUGACAUAAGUAACGAUAAAGCGGGUGAAAAGCCCGCUCGCCGGAAGACCAAGGGUUCCUGUCCAACGUUAAUCGGGGCAGGGUGAGUCGACCCCUAAGGCGAGGCCGAAAGGCGUAGUCGAUGGGAAACAGGUUAAUAUUCCUGUACUUGGUGUUACUGCGAAGGGGGGACGGAGAAGGCUAUGUUGGCCGGGCGACGGUUGUCCCGGUUUAAGCGUGUAGGCUGGUUUUCCAGGCAAAUCCGGAAAAUCAAGGCUGAGGCGUGAUGACGAGGCACUACGGUGCUGAAGCAACAAAUGCCCUGCUUCCAGGAAAAGCCUCUAAGCAUCAGGUAACAUCAAAUCGUACCCCAAACCGACACAGGUGGUCAGGUAGAGAAUACCAAGGCGCUUGAGAGAACUCGGGUGAAGGAACUAGGCAAAAUGGUGCCGUAACUUCGGGAGAAGGCACGCUGAUAUGUAGGUGAAGUCCCUCGCGGAUGGAGCUGAAAUCAGUCGAAGAUACCAGCUGGCUGCAACUGUUUAUUAAAAACACAGCACUGUGCAAACACGAAAGUGGACGUAUACGGUGUGACGCCUGCCCGGUGCCGGAAGGUUAAUUGAUGGGGUUAGCGCAAGCGAAGCUCUUGAUCGAAGCCCCGGUAAACGGCGGCCGUAACUAUAACGGUCCUAAGGUAGCGAAAUUCCUUGUCGGGUAAGUUCCGACCUGCACGAAUGGCGUAAUGAUGGCCAGGCUGUCUCCACCCGAGACUCAGUGAAAUUGAACUCGCUGUGAAGAUGCAGUGUACCCGCGGCAAGACGGAAAGACCCCGUGAACCUUUACUAUAGCUUGACACUGAACAUUGAGCCUUGAUGUGUAGGAUAGGUGGGAGGCUUUGAAGUGUGGACGCCAGUCUGCAUGGAGCCGACCUUGAAAUACCACCCUUUAAUGUUUGAUGUUCUAACGUUGACCCGUAAUCCGGGUUGCGGACAGUGUCUGGUGGGUAGUUUGACUGGGGCGGUCUCCUCCUAAAGAGUAACGGAGGAGCACGAAGGUUGGCUAAUCCUGGUCGGACAUCAGGAGGUUAGUGCAAUGGCAUAAGCCAGCUUGACUGCGAGCGUGACGGCGCGAGCAGGUGCGAAAGCAGGUCAUAGUGAUCCGGUGGUUCUGAAUGGAAGGGCCAUCGCUCAACGGAUAAAAGGUACUCCGGGGAUAACAGGCUGAUACCGCCCAAGAGUUCAUAUCGACGGCGGUGUUUGGCACCUCGAUGUCGGCUCAUCACAUCCUGGGGCUGAAGUAGGUCCCAAGGGUAUGGCUGUUCGCCAUUUAAAGUGGUACGCGAGCUGGGUUUAGAACGUCGUGAGACAGUUCGGUCCCUAUCUGCCGUGGGCGCUGGAGAACUGAGGGGGGCUGCUCCUAGUACGAGAGGACCGGAGUGGACGCAUCACUGGUGUUCGGGUUGUCAUGCCAAUGGCACUGCCCGGUAGCUAAAUGCGGAAGAGAUAAGUGCUGAAAGCAUCUAAGCACGAAACUUGCCCCGAGAUGAGUUCUCCCUGACCCUUUAAGGGUCCUGAAGGAACGUUGAAGACGACGACGUUGAUAGGCCGGGUGUGUAAGCGCAGCGAUGCGUUGAGCUAACCGGUACUAAUGAACCGUGAGGCUUAACCUUACAACGCCGAAGCUGUU